Molecule: small nuclear RNA, 311 nt
Filed under: Mus caroli (Ryukyu mouse)
Lineage: Eukaryota; Metazoa; Chordata; Mammalia; Rodentia; Muridae
Description: sRNA (MGP_CAROLIEiJ_G0008439.1)
Rfam family: 7SK RNA
About the family: 7SK was discovered as an abundant small nuclear RNA in the mid-70s but a possible function has only recently been suggested.
Source: RNAcentral
GCAUGUGACAGUCACUUCACUGUGACAUCUGUCAACCCAUGAAUCACCAGCAUCAAUUCAGCUGAUUUGGUUGGCUAGGUGUGUAUCCACUUCCUCCCUCUCUGCUACUGCUGAGGCUGCUUCCUCUAGAAUAAAGGAGGACCAGUCUUUGCUCAAGAGUAUAUGAGUAACUUGGUCCCUUGCUAGAACCUCCAAAGAAUCAUUCAAGGUCCAUUUUUAAUUUUUAUUUAUGUGUGUCUGUGUAAAUAGGACACACAUUUUCAAUUGCAGACAAAGAUCAGUAGUUACAGUCACAGGUGGUUGUAAACUGU